Long non-coding RNA from Xiphophorus hellerii (green swordtail), 335 nucleotides. RefSeq lists it as uncharacterized. Lineage: Eukaryota; Metazoa; Chordata; Actinopteri; Cyprinodontiformes; Poeciliidae. The record is from RefSeq and is a predicted model, not a curated record. The transcript has 3 exons.
UCACUCAGACUCAUUGACACUCAUUCAGACUUUCAAACUCAGAGGUAUCAAUUUUUAUCUAUGUCUUGACACUAAUAAUAGUAUUAUUACAUGACAUAUCUUUUUUAUUUAGCGUUAAAAGGAAGUUACAAAAGGAUUAAAGGAAAUGGACUUAAUAAAUUAAGGACUGGAAAAGGGCAGAUCAAACAUUUGCUGUAAUAACCAUGUCCACCAAUGCAAUGUCAGGUCACACAGCUUGCAAACUUACCACAGACAGUGAAGAGCAAAGUGAGGAUGACCUAAGUGCACCUCAAUCAAAUUGUCUAGCCAACAUGAAUAACAACAACAAUGAAGAG